RNAcentral lists this ribosomal RNA (253 nucleotides) under uncultured bacterium. RNAcentral's name for it is "partial 16S ribosomal RNA". It matches the Rfam family "Bacterial small subunit ribosomal RNA", at positions 524 to 776 of the family's 1533-position model. The record is from RNAcentral.
UACGAAGGGGGCUAGCGUUGCUCGGAAUCACUGGGCGUAAAGCGCACGUAGGCGGAUUGUUAAGUCAGGGGUGAAAUCCUGGAGCUCAACUCCAGAACUGCCUUUGAUACUGGCGAUCUCGAGUCCGGGAGAGGUGAGUGGAACUGCGAGUGUAGAGGUGAAAUUCGUAGAUAUUCGCAAGAACACCAGUGGCGAAGGCGGCGACCUGGGCCAAUAUUGACGCUGAGGUGCGAAAGCGUGGGGAGCAAACAGG